UACGUAGGGUGCGAGCGUUAAUCGGAAUUACUGGGCGUAAAGCGUGCGCAGGCGGUUUUUGUAAGACAGGCGUGAAAUCCCCGGGCUCAACCUGGGAAUGGCGCUUGUGACUGCAAAGCUGGAGUGCGGCAGAGGGGGAUGGAAUUUCCGCGUGUAGCAGUGAAAUGCGUAGAUAUGCGGAGGAACACCGAUGGCGAAGGCAAUCCCCUGGGCCUGCACUGACGCUCAUGCACGAAAGCGUGGGGAGCAAACAGG
RNAcentral lists this ribosomal RNA (255 nucleotides) under uncultured bacterium. RNAcentral's name for it is "partial 16S ribosomal RNA". It matches the Rfam family "Bacterial small subunit ribosomal RNA", at positions 524 to 776 of the family's 1533-position model. The record is from RNAcentral.